CCUACGGGAGGCAGCAGUGAGGAAUAUUGGUCAAUGGUCGGGAGACUGAACCAGCCAAGCCGCGUGAGGGAUGAAGGUACAGAGUAUCGUAAACCUCUUUUGUCAGGGAACAAAGGCGGGGACGUGUCCCCGGAUGAGUGUACCCGAAGAAAAAGCAUCGGCUAACUCCGUGCCAGCAGCCGCGGUAAUACGGAGGAUGCGAGCGUUAUCCGGAUUUAUUGGGUUUAAAGGGUGCGCAGGCGGUAUGUUAAGUCAGCGGUAAAAGCCCGGGGCUCAACCCCGGCCCGCCGUUGAAACUGGCAGUCUCGAGUUGGAGAGAAGUAUGCGGAAUGCGCGGUGUAGCGGUGAAAUGCAUAGAUAUCGCGCAGAACUCCGAUUGCGAAGGCAGCAUGCCGGCUCCACACUGACGCUGAGGCACGAAAGCGUGGGGAUCGAACAGGAUUAGAUACCCUUGUAGUC
This 459-nucleotide ribosomal RNA is filed under the name uncultured bacterium. RNAcentral's name for it is "partial 16S ribosomal RNA". It matches the Rfam family "Bacterial small subunit ribosomal RNA", at positions 338 to 795 of the family's 1533-position model. The record is from RNAcentral.